UGAGCCCCAGACAUCGAUUAUCUGCUGACAAAUUAUACAAAUAUUCACUGAAGAUGGUAAUUGCUCAGCGCAGGAACAAUCUAGUGAGGAGCCUCAGUCUGGUUCGCGCUCAUUUUUUCAGUGCGUUACAUUUUUUUCUCAAUUUGUUUUUGCAGGCCAUCUAAUAAUCUGGUCAGGUAAAAAUGUAUUUGAACUCAAAUUUCACGAUCUGGUAGGCAACCUUUUUUAGGAUUUAAAUUAUAUAUUGACAAUUUCAUCAUGGUUUUAGGUCCAUUCCUAAGAACUAGUGAACGAAAAGCCCGAAUUAACGGCUCCUGAGGGGAAUGUAGACCAAUGAUACCAGUCACGGAAAAGACUCGGAAUGCCUGUUACUACUUGGAUGAGUAGAUGCGGAAUCAGUUUCAGCCAUCAGAAAUCGACCUGUCUGCUUCUUCAGUAAAAUCCCAACCGCUUUGAGUUGGUACAUUGCUAUCAUAAAUAUUUUUUUAUUUUUGUGUGUAAAUUCGGUGUAAUUUUUGUAAUUUGCUUUGACACAAUGAAAUGUAUAGCCCAGUUUUUUAUGUAAAAUAUCUUUAUUGAUAGGCCUAAGUCGUUCAUUAUAUACAUUGAUCCAUACUUUUUUUUUAUCCAACAGAUUUAGAAGGGAACAAUUAAACAAUUUGACUCCAAUACAUGCGAUAUAAUCAAUGGAAUUUCGGAUAUGCUAAUGAAUUUCGUCACAGAUGGUACAGUAUUCUAACUACAUUAUGAUGCAUAUUUAUUGACAAAUAAUCAUGUUCAGAGGCAUGUUGCUCUUUCCUGUCAUGCUGUGCAAUGGAGAACGACGUUUCUAAAAGCAAUCAGCAUUUGCCAAUCAACUGUGGGUUGUCCUGGUGCAGCAAAAUGCCCCGCAAGGGAGGCCAAUUUGGUGUGAAGCCAAAUCCAAUCAAAUCACAUCCUGAGCAAACGUCAUCAUGUCAGGAAAAGGUCUUGAUUUCUAGUCUUCUUGUGUUGAUGUCUUGCAGUAGUUCGCUUAAUCUAGCUAGUUUGCUUAAUCGGCCCUUUUCCAAGCCAUGGAUGGAGAUGGGGAUUUAAACUUGAGGUGAUGGAGAUAGGGAUUUGGACUUGAGGAUUUGACUUAAUUCUCUGUACAGGCCAAUGAUUAUAACGGCAAUUCUGAUCUAACCAUAAAUUCAUGCCACUGGCCUGAGACGAUUGAAGUUCAAUAUGUAGCCUAGUAGACUCACAUUACCUAGCUAGCUAACAUAGCUGGUUCAUUGUUGCCCAUGUGAGGAAGUUAGGACAGCACAAAUUUUAGCUAGGUAGCCUAUGAAAGCAUAAACUAAAAGCGUGGGUUUGAAUCUUGAAACAUGGAUUCCGAUUGGUCAGACCAGCAUUGAAUAGACCUUAGCACGAAUACUUCCUGUUUGAGUUUCUGCCUAUAGGAAGGGAGGAGCAAAAUGGAGUCGUGAUCAGAUUUGCCGAAGGAAGGGUGGGGGAGGGCCUUCUAGGCAUUUGGAAA
This 1501-nucleotide long non-coding RNA is filed under the name Oncorhynchus kisutch (coho salmon). Its description in RNAcentral is "lncRNA (ENSOKIG00005041417.1)". The record is from RNAcentral. Lineage: Eukaryota; Metazoa; Chordata; Actinopteri; Salmoniformes; Salmonidae.